GUCCACGCAGUAAACGAUGAAUACUAGCCGUUCGCGAUAUACAGUGAGUGGCACAGCGAAAGCGUUAAGUAUUCCACCUGGGGAGUACGUUCGCAAGAAUGAAACUCAAAGGAAUUGACGGGGGCCCGCACAAGCGGAGGAACAUGUGGUUUAAUUCGAUGAUACGCGAGGAACCUUACCCGGGCUUGAAAUGCAUCUGACCGGCUUGGAAACAGGCCUUCUAGCAAUAGCAGAUGUGUAGGUGCUGCAUGGUUGUCGU
Molecule: ribosomal RNA, 259 nt
Filed under: uncultured bacterium
Lineage: Bacteria
Description: partial 16S ribosomal RNA
Rfam family: Bacterial small subunit ribosomal RNA
Source: RNAcentral